RNAcentral lists this ribosomal RNA (111 nucleotides) under Caerostris darwini. The record is from RNAcentral. Lineage: Eukaryota; Metazoa; Arthropoda; Arachnida; Araneae; Araneidae.
ACGGCAGUACAAUGCUGAAUAUACCGGUUCUCAUUAGAUCACCGAAGUCAAGCAUCAUUGGGCGCGGUCAGUACUUGGGUGGGUGACCACCUGGGAACACUGCGUGCCGUU